GUUUGCACUUGUCGGGGAAGGGUGAGAACCUUCGAUUAAGGUUCGACUCGAGCGAAAGCGAGAGAACGUUGCCAACGGCAACGGCCCGAAGGGUGAGGAGCGAAGCGACGAAUAAUCCUUCCACCACCAUUC
Molecule: small RNA, 132 nt
Filed under: Citrobacter freundii
Lineage: Bacteria; Pseudomonadati; Pseudomonadota; Gammaproteobacteria; Enterobacterales; Enterobacteriaceae
Also listed under: 1 other name
Description: RtT sRNA
Rfam family: RtT RNA
About the family: This family represents a bacterial cis-regulatory element known as RtT RNA. The exact function of RtT is unknown although it is thought that it may be involved in changing the cellular response in relation to amino acid starvation.
Source: RNAcentral